This is a non-coding RNA of Parasteatoda tepidariorum (common house spider), 669 nucleotides long. The record is from RefSeq and is a predicted model, not a curated record. Lineage: Eukaryota; Metazoa; Arthropoda; Arachnida; Araneae; Theridiidae.
UGUACCCUUUCUGCCGGGCUGACCGUAAGAUGUUUUCGUGGUUUUUUUACUCCAUAUAACACAAAUGUGGGUCAGUUCCAUUAAGAAGUCCUUCCCGAAGGCUAGUUUGUCCCAAUGCUUGACCGCAUAUUGGAGCUGAUAUUGGCUACGGAUUCAACGUUCAGGGAGGGCUAGAAAAUAAAAUGAGCUGAUGUUUAAAGAUACAAGAAAGGAAACUGAAUGGAAAGCAGGUGGAAUUGAAUGAGUUAAAGAAAAGAAGAGUCUCAGAUGGAAAGCAAACUCAAUUCAAGUAAAACUCAACUUGAUGCAUUAACUUCUUCUCUACAAAGUAACACCCUUCAGAUAAGUCAAAUAAAAAUUAAAAUUGACCAAAUACAAGAGCAACAUAGGUUAAAUGAGUGAAGCUAUCAAGGAUAUGGAUAAUGUACUUUCUUUUGGUGAUUUCCGAAGUAUAUCAGACUUUACUUUGAAUGGCUUUUCUACACCUAAUGAUGACAGAGCCUAUAUUUCACCAACAUGUCCCAAAAACCUUUGAUGAAGUUAAACCAGCUGUAACUACACCUCUCAAUGAUUUUCAGGAGUAUCAAUUUAAAAGUAGUCAUCGCUUCGAAGGUAAGACAAAUGGAUUUGUUAAUGAUCCAUUUUCUGGUGAAGAUCCGUUCAAAUCUG